RNAcentral lists this ribosomal RNA (497 nucleotides) under uncultured bacterium. RNAcentral describes it as "partial 16S ribosomal RNA". It matches the Rfam family "Bacterial small subunit ribosomal RNA", at positions 28 to 507 of the family's 1533-position model. The record is from RNAcentral.
GAUGAACGCUGGCGGCGUGCCUAAUACAUGCAAGUCGAGCGAACGGACGAGAAGCUUGCUUCUCUGAUGUUAGCGGCGGACGGGUGAGUAACACGUGGAUAACCUACCUAUAAGACUGGGAUAACUUCGGGAAACCGGAGCUAAUACCGGAUAAUAUUUUGAACCGCAUGGUUCAAAAGUGAAAGACGGUCUUGCUGUCACUUAUCGAUGGAUCCGCGCUGCAUUAGCUAGUUGGUAAGGUAACGGCUUACCAAGGCAACGAUGCAUAGCCGACCUGAGAGGGGGAGCGGCCACACUGGAACUGAGACACGGUCCAGACUCCUACGGGAGGCAGCAGUAGGGAAUCUUCCGCAAUGGGCGAAAGCCUGACGGAGCAACGCCGCGUGAGUGAUGAAGGUCUUCGGAUCGUAAAACUCUGUUAUUAGGGAAGAACAUAUGUGUAAGUAACUGUGCACAUCUUGACGGUACCUAAUCAGAAAGCCACGGCUAACUACGUG